Molecule: ribosomal RNA, 504 nt
Filed under: uncultured bacterium
Lineage: Bacteria
Description: bacterial SSU rRNA
Rfam family: Bacterial small subunit ribosomal RNA
Source: RNAcentral
AGUUUGAUCAUGGCUCAGGAUGAACGCUAGCGGCAGGCCUAACACAUGCAAGUCGAGGGGCAGCGCGGGUAGCAAUACCUGGCGGCGACCGGCGCACGGGUGAGUAACGCGUAUGCAACCUGCCCGCCACAGGGGGAUAGCCCGCCGAAAGGCGGAUUAAUACCCCAUCGCCCCACGUUCCGGCAUCGGGAUGUGGGUAAAGGAGCGAUCCGGUGGCGGAUGGGCAUGCGUGCCAUUAGCUAGUUGGCGGGGUAACGGCCCACCAAGGCGACGAUGGCUAGGGGGUCUGAGAGGAUGGUCCCCCACACUGGUACUGAGACACGGACCAGACUCCUACGGGAGGCAGCAGUGAGGAAUAUUGGUCAAUGGGCGGAAGCCUGAACCAGCCAUGCCGCGUGCAGGAAGACGGCCCUACGGGUUGUAAACUGCUUUUCCGGGGGAAGAAUAAUCCCGACGUGUCGGGAGAUGCCGGUACCCCGGGAAUAAGGAUCGGCUAACUCCGUG